Molecule: long non-coding RNA, 854 nt
Organism: Strongylocentrotus purpuratus (purple sea urchin)
Lineage: Eukaryota; Metazoa; Echinodermata; Echinoidea; Camarodonta; Strongylocentrotidae
Exons: 7
Source: RefSeq, a predicted model, not a curated record
UGUACGCGUACCAUGUAUCAUUCAUCAUGCGGUGCUUCAUCGUGCGACUAAUAUCUGCGCAGAAGCAAGACGUUAAGUUGAUCUAACUUAAUACUGAAUCAUGUCCUUGGUAACUUUCUAAGAUUCCCAUACAAAGAGAACACAGCAUUCGGGAAGUGAAGGAGGCAGUUUUCAGGAAAGACCGAAAGACUGCCCACUAUGUACAGCCAAAAAUUUGACCCGAUUGUCCAAUCACCUCUCUUCGGUUCAUGGGAUGAGCAAGGACGAGAGAAAAAAAAUUCAUGCAAGACCAGAAAUGCCAAAGCCAAAGCAGAGAAAGAACCUUGAUGCACUGCCUAAAAUACAUAAGUACACCAUCUGGAGCCUUGCAAAACCUUUUCAAGGACAGGAAUUACAGAUCAACUAAGGCAUGAAGCAUCAGUAAGCUGGCCCAAACUAAAAAUGCUACGGGACGACUUGAUUCUUAUUUUGCUGACAAAUGGAGCCCACGAAGUGAUGUUGUCGCCAAGAUGCAAGUAGAUCAUGAGCAGAACGCCAAAAAUCAAGAUGGGAAGCAAGUGAUUGAGGCUGUCUCCCGGUAAGUGGAAAAGACUAGCAAACUACAAGGCAUAUAGUGUUUGAACCACGGCCCAGUACUAUGCCUGGAGGCAGAAGACAACUUAUAAUGUAGGAGCCAGGGAGACAGUCAGGAGGACCCUUCUUUAUGAAAAUGACGCAUUACCUCCUAGUCCUACCCCUAGACCAAGCAACUCAUCGGCCCCUUCCUGUUGUGUUGCCGCCUCCAUCAUAUCUACUGUAAGAAAUGACGAUGACCCAUCUUAUAUGCCACCAAGCCCACAAAGAGCAAACCUUUG